This 459-nucleotide ribosomal RNA is filed under the name uncultured bacterium. RNAcentral describes it as "partial 16S ribosomal RNA". It matches the Rfam family "Bacterial small subunit ribosomal RNA", at positions 338 to 795 of the family's 1533-position model. The record is from RNAcentral.
CCUACGGGUGGCAGCAGUGAGGAAUAUUGGUCAAUGGCCGGAAGGCUGAACCAGCCAAGCCGCGUGAAGGACUAAGGUGCUAAGCAUUGUAAACUUCUUUUGUCAAGGGACAAAAUCAGGCUCGAGAGCCUGACCGCGGGUACUUGAAGAACACGCAUCGACUAACUCCGUGCAAGCAGCCGCGGUAAUACGGAGGAUGCGAGCGUUAUCGGAAUUUAUUGGGUUUAAGGGGUGGGUAGUGGGACUGUUAAGUCAGCGGUAAAAGCGCGGGGCUCAACCCCGGCGAGCCGUUGAUACUGGCUGUCGUGAGAAGUCGAGAGGGAUGCGGAAUGCGCGGUGUAGCAGUGAAAUGCUUAGAUAUUGCGAAGAACACCGAUUGCGAAGGCAGCAUACCGGCGGCGAACUGACGCUGAGGCACGAAGGCGAGGGUAUCGAACAGGAUUAGAUACCCCAGUAGUC